GAUGAACGCUAGCGGCAGGCUUAAUACAUGCAAGUCGAACGGUAAGGUUUCUUCGGAGACACACGAGUGGCGCACGGGUGCGUAACGCGUAUGCAACCUACCUAUAACUGGGGAAUAGCCCCGAGAAAUCGGGAUUAAUACUCCAUAACAUCCCCUGGAUGCAUAUCCGGGGGAUAAAAGCUCAGGCGGUUAUAGAUGGGCAUGCGUGGCAUUAGCUAGUUGGUGAGGUAACGGCUCACCAAGGCAACGAUGCCUAGGGGUCCUGAGAGGGUUAACCCCCACACUGGUACUGAGACACGGACCAGACUCCUACGGGUGGCAG
This 322-nucleotide ribosomal RNA is filed under the name uncultured Bacteroidota bacterium. RNAcentral describes it as "bacterial SSU rRNA". It matches the Rfam family "Bacterial small subunit ribosomal RNA", at positions 28 to 351 of the family's 1533-position model. Lineage: Bacteria; Pseudomonadati; Bacteroidota. The record is from RNAcentral.